ACGAACGCUGGCGGCGUGCCUAAUACAUGCAAGUCGAACGAGAAUUUCUUACACCGAGUGCUUGCACUCACCGUAAAAAUUCGAGUGGCGGACGGGUGAGUAACACGUGGGUAACCUGCCCAAAAGAAGGGAUAACAUUUGGAAACAAAUGCUAAUACCGUAUAACCAUAAUGACCGCAUGGUCAUUAUGUAAAAGGUGGUUCUGCUAUCGCUUUUGGAUGGACCCGCGGCGUAUUAACUAGUUGGUAGGGUAACGGCCUACCAAGGUGAUGAUACGUAGCCGAGUUGAGAGACUGAUCGGCCACAAUGGGACUGAGACACGGCCCAUACUCCUACGGGAGGCAGUAGUAGGGAAUCUUCCACAAUGGCGCAAGCCUGAUGGAGCAACGCCGCGUGAAUGAAGAAGGUCUUCGGG
This 415-nucleotide ribosomal RNA is filed under the name uncultured Lactobacillus sp. RNAcentral's name for it is "bacterial SSU rRNA". It matches the Rfam family "Bacterial small subunit ribosomal RNA", at positions 29 to 422 of the family's 1533-position model. The record is from RNAcentral. Lineage: Bacteria; Bacillati; Bacillota; Bacilli; Lactobacillales; Lactobacillaceae.